GGAUGUUAGGGCGAUCUGGCUGUGACAUCUGUCACCCCAUUGAUCGCCAGGGUUGAUUCGGCUGAUCUGGCUGGCUAGGUAGGCAUCCCCUUCCUGCCUCACCGCUCCAUGUGCAUCCCAUUAAAACUGCAAGCUUGGUCGAAGAGGACGACCUUCCCCGCUAGAGGAGGACUGGUCUUCGGUCAAGGGUAUACAAGUAGCUGCACUCCCCUGCUAGAACCUCCAAACAAGCUCUCACUUAAAUAUCUUUUUAAUGUUCAUCUAAUGGCAUAGGAAAUGUGGGAAUGCUUUCUAAACUGCAUUGCUUAUUUUUGCAUCUGUCACAAGACUUUAA
Molecule: small nuclear RNA, 334 nt
Filed under: Oryctolagus cuniculus (rabbit)
Lineage: Eukaryota; Metazoa; Chordata; Mammalia; Lagomorpha; Leporidae
Description: 7SK RNA
Rfam family: 7SK RNA
About the family: 7SK was discovered as an abundant small nuclear RNA in the mid-70s but a possible function has only recently been suggested. Two independent studies have found that 7SK RNA binds the CDK9/cyclin T complex (known as elongation factor P-TEFb). P-TEFb activates transcription by phosphorylating the C-terminal domain of RNA polymerase II.
Source: Rfam by way of RNAcentral